Podarcis lilfordi (Lilford's wall lizard) is the source of this 74-nucleotide non-coding RNA. NCBI's taxonomy places the organism in Eukaryota, Metazoa, Chordata, Lepidosauria, Squamata, Lacertidae. The record is from the annotation of a GenBank genome assembly.
CUGAGGCUGGCUCAGUGGUACAGCAUUUACUUUGCAUUGAGAAUGCCCUAGGUUCAAUCCCUGACGCCUCCAGA